This 493-nucleotide ribosomal RNA is filed under the name uncultured bacterium. RNAcentral describes it as "partial 16S ribosomal RNA". It matches the Rfam family "Bacterial small subunit ribosomal RNA", at positions 28 to 507 of the family's 1533-position model. The record is from RNAcentral.
GACGAACGCUGGCGGCGUGCCUAACACAUGCAAGUUGAGCGACGAACCAGGGCUUGCCCUGGGGCAAAGCAGCGAACGGGUGAGUAACACGUGGGUAACCUACCCCGAUAACCGGGACAACCCGAGGAAACUCGGGCUAAUACCGGAUGUGCUCACUGGACUUCGGUUCAGUGCGUAAAGGAAGCUUCGGCCUCCGUAUCGGGAGGGGCCCGCGGCCCAUCAGUUUGUUGGUGAGGUAACGGCUCACCAAGACCGCGAUGGGUAGCUGGUCUGAGAGGACGAUCAGCCACACUGGGACUGAGACACGGCCCAGACUCCUACGGGAGGCAGCAGUGGGGAAUCUUGCGCAAUGCGCGAAAGCGUGACGCAGCAACGCCGCGUGGGGGAAGAAGGCCUUCGGGUUGUAAACCCCUUUCAGGAGGGACGAAGGUUCGGCGGUGAAUAGCCGUCCGGACUGACGGCACCUCCACAAGAAGCCCCGGCUAACUACGUG